This 254-nucleotide ribosomal RNA is filed under the name uncultured bacterium. RNAcentral's name for it is "partial 16S ribosomal RNA". It matches the Rfam family "Bacterial small subunit ribosomal RNA", at positions 524 to 776 of the family's 1533-position model. The record is from RNAcentral.
UACGUAGGCAGCGAGCGUUGUUCGGAGUUACUGGGCGUAAAGGGUGUGUAGGCGGUUGUUUAAGUUUGGUGUGAAAUCUCCCGGCUCAACUGGGAGGGUGCGCCGAAUACUGAAUGACUUGGAGUGCGGGAGAGGAAAGUGGAAUUCCUGGUGUAGCGGUGAAAUGCGUAGAUAUCAGGAGGAACAUCAGUGGCGAAGGCGACUUCCUGGACCAAUACUGACGCUCAGGUGCGAAAGCGUGGGGAGCAAACAGG